Molecule: ribosomal RNA, 278 nt
Filed under: uncultured bacterium
Lineage: Bacteria
Description: partial 16S ribosomal RNA
Rfam family: Bacterial small subunit ribosomal RNA
Source: RNAcentral
CCCUUGUCAUUAGUUGCUACAUUUAGUUGGGCACUCUAAUGAGACUGCCGGUGACAAACCGGAGGAAGGUGGGGAUGACGUCAAGUCCUCAUGGCCCUUAUAGGUAGGGCUACACACGUCAUACAAUGGAUGGUACAAAGGGUCGCCAACCCGCGAGGGGGAGCCAAUCCCAUAAAACCAUUCGUAGUCCGGAUCGCAGUCUGCAACUCGACUGCGUGAAGUCGGAAUCGCUAGUAAUCGUGGAUCAGAAUGUCACGGUGAAUACGUUCCCGGGUCUU